GGAGCCCUAGAAUCUGCAUUUUUUAAAAAGUGUGCUGAAAGAUUGGGAGCUUGGUUAUAAUGUACUUUUUCUUUUUUGCAAUGCAAGUGACUCACUUAAGUUUUGAUUGCCAGGCAUCCAUUUCAAAGAGGAUCUACUUCAAAGAUGACAAUCUUGAAUAAACACAUUACCUAGCCACACGACAAGGAGUGAGCCCGGGAAACUUUAAGCGCCAUCUUCAACUUCAAAUAGAAGCAGAACCCCAGGCCUUCUCUCUCUUUCUCUACCGGCCACCUCGCUGUGUAACCCGAAGUGUUCUGUGUGACUUCCAGGUCCUCUUACUCAAGUCACUUUUCUCCGCGGGGGCUCAGAUUUCAGAGCCAGCUCUUCCUUCUGAGGGUUACUGUAGCCCUCAGUCCUGACCGGAACAGAUCAGGACUCCAGGAGUUUUCUCUCUAACAUCCCAACCCGGAGGAACCUUCGAAUUCCCAAGGUCAGUACAGACUGUCUGGAAAGACCCACCACCCCUUGCCAGUUCAACAGAAAGGAUGGUCUCAAAAAGAGAUUUAAAAAAAACACAACUCUGCCCUGGCCAGUGUGCUCAGUGACUAGAGAAUC
Molecule: long non-coding RNA, 597 nt
Organism: Myotis davidii
Lineage: Eukaryota; Metazoa; Chordata; Mammalia; Chiroptera; Vespertilionidae
Exons: 3
Source: RefSeq, a predicted model, not a curated record